GCCUGGGUGGCUUAGUCGGUUAAGCAUCUGCUUUCAGCUUAGGUCGUGAUCUCUCGGUUCGUGAGUUCAAACCUCACAUCGGGCU
Molecule: transfer RNA, 85 nt
Filed under: Felis catus (domestic cat)
Lineage: Eukaryota; Metazoa; Chordata; Mammalia; Carnivora; Felidae
Rfam family: tRNA
About the family: Transfer RNA (tRNA) molecules are approximately 80 nucleotides in length. Their secondary structure includes four short double-helical elements and three loops (D, anti-codon, and T loops).
Source: Rfam by way of RNAcentral